UACGUAGGUGGCAAGCGUUAUCCGGAUUUAUUGGGCGUAAAGGGAACGCAGGCGGUCUUUUAAGUCUGAUGUGAAAGCCUUCGGCUUAACCGGAGUAGUGCAUUGGAAACUGGGAGACUUGAGUGCAGGAGAGGAGAGUGGAAUUCCAUGUGUAGCGGUGAAAUGCGUAGAUAUAUGGAGGAACACCGGUAGCGAAAGCGGCUCUCUGGCCUGUAACUGACACUGAGGCUCGAAAGCGUGGGGAGCAAACAGG
RNAcentral lists this ribosomal RNA (253 nucleotides) under uncultured bacterium. RNAcentral describes it as "partial 16S ribosomal RNA". It matches the Rfam family "Bacterial small subunit ribosomal RNA", at positions 524 to 776 of the family's 1533-position model. The record is from RNAcentral.